UGAACGCUGGCGGCGUGCUUAACACAUGCAAGUCGAACGGAGUGUGCUUUAUUGAAGCUUCGGCAGAUUUAGCUGCACACUUAGUGGCGGACGGGUGAGUAACGCGUGGGUAACCUGCCUCAUACAGGGGGAUAGCAGCUGGAAACGGCUGAUAAAACCGCAUAAGCGCACACUAUCGCAUGAUAGAGUGUGAAAAACUCCGGUGGUAUGAGAUGGACCCGCGUCUGAUUAGCUUGUUGGUGAGGUAACGGCCCACCAAGGCGACGAUCAGUAGCCGGCCUGAGAGGGUGAACGGCCACAUUGGGACUGAGACACGGCCCAAACUCCUACGGGAGGCAGCAGUGGGGAAUAUUGCACAAUGGGGGAAACCCUGAUGCAGCGACGCCGCGUGAAGGAUGACGUAUUUCGGUAUGUAAACUUCUAUCAGCAGGGAAGAACAAGUGACGGUACCUGACUAAGAAGCCCCGGCUAACUACGUGCCAGCAGCCGC
RNAcentral lists this ribosomal RNA (490 nucleotides) under uncultured bacterium. RNAcentral describes it as "bacterial SSU rRNA". It matches the Rfam family "Bacterial small subunit ribosomal RNA", at positions 30 to 518 of the family's 1533-position model. The record is from RNAcentral.